This is a long non-coding RNA of Mastomys coucha (southern multimammate mouse), 1174 nucleotides long. RefSeq lists it as uncharacterized. NCBI's taxonomy places the organism in Eukaryota, Metazoa, Chordata, Mammalia, Rodentia, Muridae. The transcript is spliced from 2 exons. The record is from RefSeq and is a predicted model, not a curated record.
UCAGCCAUUCAGGGGGACUUUGGUAAAUGAUUUAUCUUGGUGGCAGGAGGCCUUAGAUGUGGGGUUAAAUCUGUCUCCAGUUCUUCUGGAAAGCCAGAGCCUUUCCAGAAGCCUUCUUGAGUUCCCUGACUGCCUGUCACAGGGAUGUCAGAAAAGCUCCCUCUUCUCAAGAUCGAUGGCUAAGGACAGACCCAAGUGGACCUUUCCAAUCCACUCCCUCAAAAUGCGGACAUCACAAAGUGAAGACUUUGGCAGCAGAAGAAAGAACAGCCUUGAUUUCCAGAGUUGCCCGGGAGGUGGUCAUCGACGGACGAGGUAGCUCCCUGGGAGUGCCAGCAGAAAGGGAACAGGGCAGCUUGGUUUUCGUGGUGGCACCCAGAGUCUGCAGUGUGGCCUCACCUGUUUGGCCCUUAGUUUGCUCAUGUGUAAACGAGGCAAUCUCUCGUCUAAUCCGAUGAAUGAAUCCCUGCAAACCUUCGGUGUGAAAUAUUUCAUGCACAACACAGGGUGGCUGGCCAUCUUUGAACAUGAUCAAGAAACAUGCUGGAUGCAGGAGCAAGGAAGCCAAAGACAGACUGAGAGCACAGUCAUGGAGAUGAGGCAGGAGAAGGGAGGGGCUGAGGCCGGAGCACCAAGUGCCGAGACCCAACCCUUCCCGCCACCUCAUCCGGGCGUUUCUGUGGUUCAGUGUCCACAGUUCCUGUGUGCCGUGCACCUGGGACCACACAGUUAAAACCUGAGUCCUUCAUCGCCCUGAGCAAGCACGCAUGGACGCAAGCAUGCUCACAAGCAUACCCGCACACCCCACCCCAGGGUAGAUGUCCAAAGAUCCACUCCUUGGAACCCACUGGAUCAAGAAGCUUCCUUUCCACAGACCCUGAGAAUCUGCUGAUGGAGCCAUGCUUCCCCAAGCUCAGAAUGCCCGUCACCAGCUCUGCGGGAUGUAGGGGGCCCGUCGAGAGGAGCUGAGACGGGGCAGGAGGCUAGCCCUCCCAACUCCUUCUUUUUCCAAGCCUGCAAAUUCCAGCAAGGCCUGAUAGCAGGGAGGACUCUGCAGCUAAUGAGGGAAGCUUGGCUCUUGCCCUGUUUCCCUGUCUGGGUCUCAUCAUCAUUGUCAAAGAGCCUUAUCUGCCCCAGCAUUCUAUCCCAAUUAAAAAAACCAGCUCAGUUUACA